Molecule: ribosomal RNA, 389 nt
Filed under: uncultured bacterium
Lineage: Bacteria
Description: bacterial SSU rRNA
Rfam family: Bacterial small subunit ribosomal RNA
Source: RNAcentral
GACGAACGCUGGCGGCGUGCUUAAUACAUGCAAGUCAACUGAACUUAAGAUAGCAAUAUUUUAAGGGAGGUGGCGCACGGGUGAGUAACACGUAGGUAAUCUGCCUUUAGGUCUGACAUAAUUCCGCGAAAGCGGGACUAAUUUCAGAUGAUGCAGCGGCUCGACAUCGAGACAGUUGUUAAAUCUUCGGAGCCUAAAGAUGAGCCUGCGUCUGAUUAGGUAGUUGGCGGAGUAAUAGCCCACCAAGCCAUCGAUCAGUAGCUGGUCUGAGAGGAUGAUCAGCCACACUGGAACUGAGACACGGUCCAGACUCCUACGGGAGGCAGCAGUAAGGAAUAUUGCUCAAUGGCCGAAAGGCUGAAGCAGCAACGCCGCGUGGAGGAUGAAAU